RNAcentral lists this ribosomal RNA (301 nucleotides) under uncultured bacterium. RNAcentral describes it as "partial 16S ribosomal RNA". It matches the Rfam family "Bacterial small subunit ribosomal RNA", at positions 509 to 809 of the family's 1533-position model. The record is from RNAcentral.
CAGUAGCCGCGGGAAUACGAAGGGGGCUAGCGUUGCUCGGAAUGACUGGGCGUAAAGGGCGCGUAGGCGGAUUGUUUAGUUAGGCGUGAAAUUCCUGGGCUUAACCUGGGGACUGCGCUUAAUACAGGCAGUCUAGAGUGAGGAAGAGGGUUGUGGAAUUCCCAGUGUAGAGGUGAAAUUCGUAGAUAUUGGGAAGAACACCGGUGGCGAAGGCGGCAACCUGGUCCCUGACUGACGCUGAGGCGCGAAAGCGUGGGGAGCAAACAGGAUUAGAUACCCCCGUAGUCCCUGUCUCUUAUCA